CCUACGGGGAGCUGCAGUGAGGAAUAUUGGUCAAUGGGCUUACGCCUGAACCAGCCAAGUCGCGUGAGGGAAGACUGCCCUAUGGGUUGUAAACCUCUUUUAUAAGGGAAGAAUAAAUGCUACGUGUAGCAUGAUGCCUGUACCUUAUGAAUAAGCAUCGGCUAACUCCGUGCCAGCAGCCGCGGUAAUACGGAGGCUGCGAGCGUUAUCCGGAUUUAUUGGGUUUAAGGGGUGCGUAGGCGGUUUUUUAAGUUAGUGGUUAAACGUCGGGGCUUCACCUUGAUUUGCCAUUAAUACUGUAAGACUCGAGUUCAGACGAGGUAGGCGGAAUAAGUUAAGGAGCGGUGAAAUGCUUAGAGAUAACUUAGAACUCCGAUAGCGAAGGCAGCUUACCAGACUGCGACUGACGCUGAAGCACGAGAGCGUGGGUAGCGAACAGGAUUAGAUACCCGAGUAGUC
Molecule: ribosomal RNA, 459 nt
Filed under: uncultured bacterium
Lineage: Bacteria
Description: partial 16S ribosomal RNA
Rfam family: Bacterial small subunit ribosomal RNA
Source: RNAcentral